Molecule: ribosomal RNA, 402 nt
Filed under: uncultured prokaryote
Description: bacterial SSU rRNA
Rfam family: Bacterial small subunit ribosomal RNA
Source: RNAcentral
UGGGGAAUCUUAGACAAUGGGCGCAAGCCUGAUCUAGCCAUGCCGCGUGAGCGAUGAAGGCCUUAGGGUUGUAAAGCUCUUUCAGUGGGGAAGAUAAUGACUGUACCCACAGAAGAAGCCCCGGCUAACUCCGUGCCAGCAGCCGCGGUAAUACGGAGGGGGCUAGCGUUGUUCGGAAUUACUGGGCGUAAAGCGCACGUAGGCGGACUGGAAAGUCAGGGGUGAAAUCCCGGGGCUCAACCCCGGAACUGCCUUUGAAACUCCCGGUCUUGAGGUCGAGAGAGGUGAGUGGAAUUCCGAGUGUAGAGGUGAAAUUCGUAGAUAUUCGGAGGAACACCAGUGGCGAAGGCGGCUCACUGGCUCGAUACUGACGCUGAGGUGCGAAAGCGUGGGGAGCAAACA